Molecule: transfer RNA, 70 nt
Filed under: Lype phaeopa
Lineage: Eukaryota; Metazoa; Arthropoda; Insecta; Trichoptera; Psychomyiidae
Description: tRNA-Lys
Source: RNAcentral
CAUUAGAUAACUUAAAGUAAGUUCAGGUCUCUUAAACCUAAUUAUAAUAAUUAACGCCUAUUUCUAAUGA